UGCCAGCCGCCGCGGUAAUACAGAGGGUGCAAGCGUUAAUCGGAAUUACUGGGCGUAAAGCGUGCGUAGGCGGACUGGAAAGUUGGGUGUGAAAUCCCUCGGCUCAACCGAGGAAUUGCGCCCAAAACUGCCAGGCUUGAGGAAGAUAGAGGUGAGCGGAACUCUUGGUGGAGCGGUGAAAUGCGUUGAUAUCAGGGGGAACACCGGUGGCGAAAGCGGCUCACUGGGUCUUUUCUGACGCUGAGGUACGAAAGCUAGGGGAGCGAACGGGAUUAGAUA
RNAcentral lists this ribosomal RNA (279 nucleotides) under uncultured bacterium. RNAcentral's name for it is "partial 16S ribosomal RNA". It matches the Rfam family "Bacterial small subunit ribosomal RNA", at positions 506 to 784 of the family's 1533-position model. The record is from RNAcentral.